Oryza barthii is the source of this 205-nucleotide non-coding RNA. Lineage: Eukaryota; Viridiplantae; Streptophyta; Magnoliopsida; Poales; Poaceae. The record is from Rfam.
AAAAAGGCAAAUCUUGGGUUUCUGUGUCCAAUUUUAACUGUCCGUCUUAUAUGAAAUUUUUUUAUAAUUCGUAUUUUCAUUGUUGUUAGAUGAUAAAAUAUAAUUAAUAUUUUAUGCGUGACUUGUCUUUUUAAUUUUUUUCAUAAUUUUUUCAAAUAAGACGGACGGUCAAACGCUGGACAUGGAAACCAGGGUUUGUCUUUUU